RNAcentral lists this ribosomal RNA (253 nucleotides) under uncultured bacterium. Its description in RNAcentral is "partial 16S ribosomal RNA". It matches the Rfam family "Bacterial small subunit ribosomal RNA", at positions 524 to 776 of the family's 1533-position model. The record is from RNAcentral.
UACGUAGGUGGCGAGCGUUGUCCGGAAUUACUGGGCGUAAAGGGCGCGUAGGCGGCUCUUUAAGUCAGAUGUGAAAACCCAGGGCUUAACUUUGGGAGUGCAUUUGAAACUGAAGGGCUCGAGUGCAGGAGAGGUAAGUGGAAUUCCUAGUGUAGCGGUGAAAUGCGUAGAUAUUAGGAGGAACACCAGUGGCGAAGGCGGCUUACUGGACUGUAACUGACGCUGAGGCGCGAAAGCGUGGGGAGCAAACAGG